RNAcentral lists this ribosomal RNA (505 nucleotides) under uncultured bacterium. Its description in RNAcentral is "partial 16S ribosomal RNA". It matches the Rfam family "Bacterial small subunit ribosomal RNA", at positions 28 to 507 of the family's 1533-position model. The record is from RNAcentral.
GACGAACGCUGGCGGCGUGCCUAAUACAUGCAAGUAGAACGCACAGUUUAUACCGUAGCUUGCUACACCAUAAACUGUGAGUUGCGAACGGGUGAGUAACGCGUAGGUAACCUGCCUGGUAGCGGGGGAUAACUAUUGGAAACGAUAGCUAAUACCGCAUAAUAUUAAUUAUUGCAUGAUAAUUGAUUGAAAGAUGCAAUUGCAUCACUACCAGAUGGACCUGCGUUGUAUUAGCUAGUAGGUGAGGUAACGGCUCACCUAGGCGACGAUACAUAGCCGACCUGGGAGGGUGAGCGGCCACACUGGGACUGAGACACGGCCCAGACUCCUACGGGAGGCAGCAGUAGGGAAUCUUCGGCAAUGGACGAAAGUCUGACCGAGCAACGCCGCGUGAGUGAAGAAGGUUUUCGGAUCGUAAAGCUCUGUUGUAAGAGAAGAACGGGUGUGAGAGUGGAAAGUUCACACUGUGACGGUAUCUUACCAGAAAGGGACGGCUAACUACGUG